RNAcentral lists this long non-coding RNA (584 nucleotides) under Capra hircus (goat). RNAcentral's name for it is "lncRNA (ENSCHIG00010010934.1)". The record is from RNAcentral. Lineage: Eukaryota; Metazoa; Chordata; Mammalia; Artiodactyla; Bovidae.
AUGAAAAGGCCAAACCCCCAGAAAUACAGGAUCCCGCCCAAGGUCACAACACAGAUUCAGACCCGAGGGAACUCUUCUGAUCCCUGGACAGGUACGAUACAGGUGGCAGGUUUUUAUCUGAAGUUAUUUUGGCCCCUGGAGAAUCUUCCCCGGAAAAGCAUCAGCAGAACGAUACCAGCUUGGGGUGGACAUAUUGGGGUGAGGUUGCAGAAUCAGGGAUCUGGAGUUCCUGAUGUCGGUAAAGACUUCCACUAGUCUUCGGCUCUUAGGAUCAUCUCUCNNNNNNNNNNNNNNNNNNNNNNNNNNNNNCCGCCAUCUCCCCCUCCCCAACCUCUGGGGCUUCUCUCGCCUCCACUUUCAUUCUCCUUUCUCAGAAUGUACACAAAGACAAGUUUUUGAGGGAAAAAAACAUCUACCGAAAUCAAUGAAUUCAUGAAUUCAUCCCAGCACCCCCUCCUAAGGUGCCUGAAAUCAAGCCCGACCGCUAAAGUGCGCACUUGGAACCGACUGCGGGGCGGGGGCUACGGAGAGGAGGGAGGGGUGAGUUCCGAAACGGAGAGGCGCCAGGAAGGGAGCCCCCCCCC